CCUACGGGUGGCAGCAGUGAGGAAUAUUGCUCAAUGGGGGAAACCCUGAAGCAGCAACGCCGCGUGGAGGAUGAAGGUUUUCGGAUUGUAAACUCCUUUUGUUAGAGAAGAUAAUGACGGUAUCUAACGAAUAAGCACCGGCUAACUCCGUGCCAGCAGCCGCGGUAAUACGGAGGGUGCAAGCGUUACUCGGAAUCACUGGGCGUAAAGGGCGCGUAGGCGGGAUAGCAAGUCAGAUGUGAAAUCCUAUGGCUUAACCAUAGAACUGCAUUUGAAACUGUUAUUCUAGAGUAUGGGAGGGGUAGGUGGAUUUCUUGGGGAAGGGGGAAAAUCCGUAGAAACAAAGAGGAAUACCAAUUGAGAAGGCAGCCGG
Molecule: ribosomal RNA, 373 nt
Filed under: uncultured bacterium
Lineage: Bacteria
Description: partial 16S ribosomal RNA
Rfam family: Bacterial small subunit ribosomal RNA
Source: RNAcentral